UGGGGAAUAUUGCGCAAUGGGCGAAAGCCUGACGCAGCGACGCCGCGUGGGGGAUGAAGGCCUUCGGGUUGUAAACCCCUUUCAGCAGGGACGAAGCGAAAGUGACGGUACCUGCAGAAGAAGCGCCGGCUAACUACGUGCCAGCAGCCGCGGUAACACGUAGGGCGCAAGCGUUGUCCGGAAUUAUUGGGCGUAAAGAGCUCGUAGGCGGUCUGUUGCGUCCGCUGUGAAAACCUAGGGCUUAACCCUGGGCUUGCAGUGGAUACGGGCAGACUAGAGGUAGGUAGGGGAGAAUGGAAUUCCCGGUGUAGCGGUGAAAUGCGCAGAUAUCGGGAGGAACACCGGUGGCGAAGGCGGUUCUCUGGGCCUUACCUGACGCUGAGGAGCGAAAGCGUGGGGAGCGAACAGG
This 409-nucleotide ribosomal RNA is filed under the name uncultured bacterium. RNAcentral describes it as "bacterial SSU rRNA". It matches the Rfam family "Bacterial small subunit ribosomal RNA", at positions 355 to 776 of the family's 1533-position model. The record is from RNAcentral.